RNAcentral lists this long non-coding RNA (620 nucleotides) under Homo sapiens (human). RNAcentral's name for it is "non-protein coding lnc-LHX2-1:1". The record is from RNAcentral. Lineage: Eukaryota; Metazoa; Chordata; Mammalia; Primates; Hominidae.
CCGGGAACCGCCGCUGCCACUGAGCCGGGAGCACGGGAGGGCCCCGUCGGGCCGGGAGGGCUUUGGGCGAGUUGGGCUUGUCAAAGGGAGGACCUGGUGGCAAGUGGCUGGCAGUUGCCGCUCUGUCUGGAGCGUGGGGGAGUCUCACGCUCAGUGCAGGGGCCAGCUGUGGGGACUCCUCACCCAAAGCAGGGCACCAGCAAUCCGUAGUAGCCCGCAGGAAAGGGGCAGCUGCCCAGCCGCAGCCCAGGUGCAAGGGGCAUUUGUUUCCACGGGGCAAGCAAGGAAGACUUUACCCUGAAACAAAGAAUUGAGACCAACCGAGACUGUCCCAGCCUCUUCGACGGCAGAGGAAUCCCAGCUUCUGGACUGAGGGGCUACAUCUAUCCCCCUCCCCCACCUCUUUAACUUUAAAAUAGUUUAAUGAACACAGAGAGAGAAAUCAUUUUUUUUUUUCUGCGUGGUGAGCAGUCUACAAAGAGAAAUGGGAAAGGAGGGAGAGAGCUUUAACUCUGAUCCCCGCAAUUAGUUCCCUGGGAUUGUUGGUGUGUGUGUGGGGGGGGCAACCCGGGAGCCUCAGUUCUUCAGAUACAAAAGCAUUUAGAUCGCUUUAGACCGGU